GCAGGUCAAACCCACUCUUCUCUUUCUCUAUUAAAAAACAAUUCAUCAGUUCCCCAAUAAUGAUUUCAUCAAAUUCUUUUAUGGGAUUUCAUUUGCAAUCAGAUUGGUAUAACCUAUGAUUUCAUCCAAUAGGGGAAUAAUGAAAGCCAACGGUGAACUGGUGUUCGGAUUUCUACUCGUCGCUGCUCUGAUCAGACUGAUUCAAUCGAAAUCGACAGCGGUGGUGGCCUUGAAACCGAUGACUGGGUUUUCAUUUUUGAGUUAAGCGAAAUCCCAGGUUAUAUCUUCGUAAAGAUGGAGCUUCGAACAUCCACUGAAAAGGGGCAGGACGAAAUGCAAGUCCACUGAAAUCAGGUCAAGCUGAGAUUCACAUGGUUGUAUAGAGGCAUGAGCAAAUGCACUCGACCGCAUUGAAAUCUGAUGAAGAGGAGGGAUUAUAUGCUCUUUGAUCCACUUAUCAAUGAGGAUGCUGAGCUGCAUGAAAGGCAAAGAGACUUGAGGCUAGAUGUUGAUAAUAUAUCAUAUGAGGAGCUGCUAGCAUUGGAAGAACAUAUAGGAGACAUGAACACUGGGCUAAGUGAAAAGAAAACACGUAGCUUUUAUGGCGAUUCAGAGCCCUGUUGCAUAUAUCAGGUGAGAGUAAGAUUUAUUUCAAGAAUUAUCUUUUUGUAUCGGGCUAAUUACCCUUUUAAACGCAAAUAUAUGCUACCCUUUAACUCUGGUCUGAUUUAUGGUUUCCGUAAUUUGACUUUUUAGGCAUGAAAGAACCAUAACUCCAAUGUUAAACACUAACACUCGUAUAAAAAUCAACUAUAAUAUACACAAACACCCCGCUAAAUUGGUAUGAAUAGUAUUCCAGUUAACACUAAAUUUAGUUCAAGACUAACGGAAAAAUGGGCGGGUUGGGUUGGGUAACGGGGGUUCGGGUCAAAACGGGUCAUUUAAAAAGUAGGGCCAGAUUAGAUUCGGGUCACAACGGGUUUUGAUACAGGUCAAAACGAGUUAACUCUAUUCUUUAGCAUAUUUUAUACUUUAUAUCAUUGUCCUCCCAGUUAAGCGAUAUUGUUUGUAUCCGUUAAAAGAAAACUAUCUAUAAUCUAUAAUACUAUAUAAAGCAAAUGUGAUGGCCAGAAAUGUAAUUUCACAUCGCGUACAAUUUUUGAAGCAAAAUGUAUAAGAGAGCACAAGCCAUUUUAAAGGGGUUAAAUUGGUAUUUCCACCAUAGUUUAAGACACCAAUGAAGGCAGUUAUGGGAUUUCAGCGUGAGUUCACAGUCCUAUCACCAUUUAUUCAUCCAUUUCAUUGUACAAUUCAUCCAAUUGCACAAGCAUUGUCACCGUCAGAGGGCAUGUCCGUUUCCAUCCCACCCCUGAUAUUCACAUUUAACUCUUGGCUAUUGAGUUGCACCCCACAUCGGUUUUCCCACUGCUCCCUCAAAUCCAUUCUCCCCUCAAAUCAAGAAACUCUGAUGCGAUAGAUGGAGCGAAAGGUGAUCCGAAGAAAGAGAAGCGGAGGAGGUAGACGGGCAGUGACAACGGCCCUCUUACACCGGAGCUUUUGGCCGUUGGUUCUGCCCUCUUACACCGCCGUACCACCACCUGCAACCACAGGAGCACCCUGUCGCCGGUUCCCUUCUUCAUAGUUCUGCGAUUUCGAAUUCGAUUAAGCAUUUUAAUUAACAGCCUUUAGCCAAUCUAUAGAUUUGAAUGAACUGGUAUUAAGCAAAUGACACAUUAAUAACUUUGACAAAACAACAUAAUUAGCCAAUCUUUAGAUUUGAAUGUCCUGCCCUUUAGUCAAUCUAUAGAUUAAUAACUUUGAC
RNAcentral lists this long non-coding RNA (1822 nucleotides) under Helianthus annuus (common sunflower). The record is from RNAcentral. Lineage: Eukaryota; Viridiplantae; Streptophyta; Magnoliopsida; Asterales; Asteraceae.